GGCCUAUCCUUUCCUUCAGCUCAUCAUGGACCUACCUAUGCCAAAAGCCCGCCUUCUCUCUGUAGAAUCUGAAGGGCCCAUUACUGCUCCCAUCCCAGAGUCACAUUCUUACUGCCCACUAUCCAGGAGCUUCACCCUGCUCUGCAAGGAAAUACCUUCCCGACCCGAGCCUCGGUUUCUUCAGUAGACUCGGGGCAUGAUGGCGCUUACUUCACACACCUGCAAUAGCUCCAUGACAGACUCCAAAUAAAUCGGUUACUUCGUGUUCUCUGUUGUUCCUGUGGCACAGAAAACCUCAUAACUCUUCACUUUUUAGCUGAGGAGUGAAAGAAUCCACAAGUGUCUCACAACUAUGAAAGAUGGUUGCUCUGAAGACAAGACAUGGAGAACUUUCUGCCUGUCCGAAGCAGAACGGAGGUUUGCAAAGAUGGUCUCCUAGAACCUGCAGUUCACUGGCCCGCUAGUCUGACAGAACAGAAAUUCUCCUGUUUCUGCUUCUCCCCAGUGGCUUAAUAAGGGCACCUCUCUGCCCAA
RNAcentral lists this long non-coding RNA (534 nucleotides) under Rattus norvegicus (Norway rat). Its description in RNAcentral is "long non-coding RNA NONRATT024567". The record is from RNAcentral. Lineage: Eukaryota; Metazoa; Chordata; Mammalia; Rodentia; Muridae.